This 524-nucleotide ribosomal RNA is filed under the name uncultured Dothideomycetes. Its description in RNAcentral is "eukaryotic LSU rRNA". The stretch from base 182 to 335 matches the Rfam family "5.8S ribosomal RNA". Lineage: Eukaryota; Fungi; Ascomycota; Dothideomycetes. The record is from RNAcentral.
UAACAAGGUUUCCGUAGGUGAACCUGCGGAAGGAUCAUUACAGAAAGUAAACGCGGAUCAAACCGCGAACUUCUAAACCUUUGACGAUUGACUCAUGUUGCCUCGGCGGGUUCUCCCGCCAGAGGAUGCAUCAAAACUCCUGUUUUAACGAGUGUUGUCUGAGCUACAAGCAACGAAUCAAAACUUUCAACAACGGAUCUCUUGGUUCUGGCAUCGAUGAAGAACGCAGCGAAAUGCGAUAAGUAGUGUGAAUUGCAGAAUUCAGUGAAUCAUCGAAUCUUUGAACGCACAUUGCGCCCCUUGGUAUCCCGAGGGGCAUGCCUGUUCGAGCGUCAUUUCACCACUCAAGCUUGGCUUGGUGUUGGGCGACGUCCCCUUUGGGGACGCGCCUCGAAACGCUCGGCGGCGUGGCACCGGCUUUAAGCGUAGCAGAAUCUUUCGCUUUAAAAGUCGGGGCCCCGUCUGCCGGAAGACCUACUCGCAAGGUUGACCUCGGGUCAGGCAGGGAUACCCGCUGAACUUAG